Molecule: ribosomal RNA, 445 nt
Filed under: uncultured bacterium
Lineage: Bacteria
Description: partial 16S ribosomal RNA
Rfam family: Bacterial small subunit ribosomal RNA
Source: RNAcentral
GUGAGGAAUAUUGGACAAUGGGCGCAAGCCUGAUCCAGCCAUGCCGCGUGCAGGAAGACGCAUCUAUGGUGUGUAAACUGCUUUUGUACGGGAAGAAACACCCCCUCGUGAGGGAGCUUGACGGUACCGUAAGAAUAAGGAUCGGCUAACUCCGUGCCAGCAGCCGCGGUAAUACGGAGGAUCCAAGCGUUAUCCGGAAUCAUUGGGUUUAAAGGGUCCGUAGGCGGUUUAAUAAGUCAGUGGUGAAAGCCCAUCGCUCAACGAUGGAACGGCCAUUGAUACUGUUAGACUUGAAUUACAAGGAAGUAACUAGAAUAUGUAGUGUAGCGGUGAAAUGCUUAGAUAUUACAUGGAAUACCAAUUGCGAAGGCAGGUUACUACUUGUGGAUUGACGCUGAUGGACGAAAGCGUGGGGAGCGAACAGGAUUAGAAACCCUGGUAGUCC